Pan troglodytes (chimpanzee) is the source of this 806-nucleotide long non-coding RNA. RefSeq lists it as uncharacterized. The record is from RefSeq and is a predicted model, not a curated record. The transcript has 3 exons. Lineage: Eukaryota; Metazoa; Chordata; Mammalia; Primates; Hominidae.
GGGCGGAUGGCAUGACGAGUCAGAGGGUGAUGCCUGCGGCGGGGAUGCACUGAGAAUAGAGAGGGCAGGUGCGGGGCUGGAGACACACUCCCGAGAGGGAGAUGGGAGAGAGGGCACCUCGUGGAUCCCGAGGAAGGCUGAAGACAGGAGAAGGGAGGGGUCGCACAUGUUAAACGCUGCCGAAAGGCCAGGAGAGAUUAAGACAGAAAUGAAUCACUGGAUUCGGCCAGGCUGCGGUUAUUGACAACAGUGGGAAGAGCAGUGAGCCUCACAGGGUCAGGGGGAAGACAGGGGAUCCCGAAGAUAACGUCUGCUACGAACUCAAUUGCAUCCGCCCCGGGCCCUACGUGGAAGCCCUAAUCCCCACGGUGACUGCAUUUGGAGAAGGACCUUCAGCACAUGAUGGAGGCGGCCCCGGAGAGGGUCAGCGAGGGGCCUCCACUGUCUGAGUCCGCUCCUGGCAACGCCUGCUCUCUGCACUCAGAGGCCCGGUCCCGGCAGCUGCCACGUUGCUCAGAAGUUCUGGCAGGGGGAGCCUGAAACCCCUGUCUGCUGGCGACACUCCCGGAGCGGCAGGAAAUCUCUACAUUUUAUUUUUUUUCUUAACAGACAAAAGUAUUUGACUCCAGAAUGAUUUCCAGGAAUUACAGUAUGAGAACUUAGUCUUUGAGAUUUUUAUUUUCUUCUUAAAAAAAUAAAAAUGAAAUCAAAGCAGAAGACACUGGUUGAGCAGACAGCACACUAGCACAUUCCACUUCGCAACAAAACCUGCGUGUUUUCUGCCCGGUCUACCUCAGACAGGGACG